RNAcentral lists this long non-coding RNA (404 nucleotides) under Homo sapiens (human). RNAcentral's name for it is "C2orf74 antisense RNA 1, transcript variant 4 (C2orf74-AS1)". The record is from RNAcentral. Lineage: Eukaryota; Metazoa; Chordata; Mammalia; Primates; Hominidae.
AGAGAGACCAGAGAGCCAGUCCAACCCAGUCCAUCACCUGGAGGCUGGAGAACCACGAGGCUGUUGCCUGUUCGUCCCCCUCUUCUGAGAGGUCCAGACCAUGAACAAUUGGUAUACUUCCUUCUUAUGAAAUCCCUCUCUAUAGCCCUGAGCUCAAGGCUUCACUGUGGAAUUCUACCAAACAUUUAACAAAGAACUAACACCAAUCUUUCUCAAACCUUUCAAAAAUUGAAGAGGGAACACUUACUAGUCAUUCUAUGGAGCUGGCAUUACCCUGAUACCAAAGCCACUACAAAAAAAGAAAGCUAUAGACCAAUAUCCUUUAUGAAUAUUGAUGCACAAGUCUUCAACAAAGUACUAGGAUACCAAAUUCAGCAACAUAUUAAAAGGAUUACACACCAUGA